UGGGGAAUAUUGGACAAUGGGCGAAAGCCUGAUCCAGCCAUGCCGCGUGUGUGAAGAAGGUCUUCGGAUUGUAAAGUACUUUAAGUUGGGAGGAAGGGCAGUAAGCGAAUAUCUUGCUGUUUUGACGUUACCGACAGAAUAAGCACCGGCUAACUCUGUGCCAGCAGCCGCGGUAAUACAGAGGGUGCAAGCGUUAAUCGGAAUUACUGGGCGUAAAGCGAGCGUAGGUGGUUCGUUAAGUAGAAUGUGAAAGCCCCGGGCUCAACCUAGGAGCUGCAUCCAAAACUGGCGAGCUAGAGAAGGGCAGAGGGGGGUGGAAUUUCCUGUGUAGCGGUGAAAUGCGUAGAUAUAGGAAGGAACACCAGUGGCGGAGGCGACCACCUGGGCUCAUACUGACACUGAGGUGCGAAAGCGUGGGGAGCAAACAGG
This 429-nucleotide ribosomal RNA is filed under the name Pseudomonadota bacterium. RNAcentral describes it as "Proteobacteria bacterium partial 16S ribosomal RNA". It matches the Rfam family "Bacterial small subunit ribosomal RNA", at positions 355 to 776 of the family's 1533-position model. Lineage: Bacteria; Pseudomonadati; Pseudomonadota. The record is from RNAcentral.